This 24-nucleotide non-coding RNA is filed under the name Arabidopsis thaliana (thale cress). Lineage: Eukaryota; Viridiplantae; Streptophyta; Magnoliopsida; Brassicales; Brassicaceae. The record is from RNAcentral.
UACUAGGAUGGGUGACCUCCCGGG